Molecule: ribosomal RNA, 378 nt
Filed under: uncultured eukaryote
Lineage: Eukaryota
Description: SSU rRNA
Rfam family: Eukaryotic small subunit ribosomal RNA
Source: RNAcentral
AGCUCCAAUAGCGUAUAUUAAAGUUGUUGCAGUUAAAAAGCUCGUAGUUGGAUCUCAGGGUGAGCUCAGUUGGUCGGCCUAAUUGGUCAGAACUGGCUGACUCUCCCUUGUUUCUGAAUCCCGGUCGGAGUUAAUUCUUCGUUCGUGGACUUCAGAUCGUUUACCUUGAAAAAAUUAGAGUGUUCAAAGCGGGCGUUUGCUUGAAUACAUUAGCAUGGAAUAAUGGAAUAGGACCCUGGUUCUAUUUUGUUGGUUUUGAGGACCAGAGUAAUGAUUAAUAGGGAUAGUUGGGGGCAUUCAUAUUUAAUUGUCAGAGGUGAAAUUCUUGGAUUUAUGAAAGAUGAACUUCUGCGAAAGCAUUUGCCAAGGAUGUUUUCA